RNAcentral lists this ribosomal RNA (260 nucleotides) under uncultured bacterium. RNAcentral's name for it is "partial 16S ribosomal RNA". It matches the Rfam family "Bacterial small subunit ribosomal RNA", at positions 526 to 783 of the family's 1533-position model. The record is from RNAcentral.
CGUAGGUGGCAAGCGUUUGUCCGGAAUUAUUGGGCGUAAAGCGCGCGCAGGCGGCUUCUUAAGUCCAUCUUAAAAGUGCGGGGCUUAACCCCGUGAUGGGAUGGAAACUGAGAGGCUGGAGUAUCGGAGAGGAAAGUGGAAUUCCUAGUGUAGCGGUGAAAUGCGUAGAGAUUAGGAAGAACACCGGUGGCGAAGGCGACUUUCUGGACGACAACUGACGCUGAGGCGCGAAAGCGUUGGGGAGCAAACAGGGAUUAGAU